GUAGCGGCGAGCGAAACGGGAAGAGCCCAAACCAACAAGCUUGCUUGUUGGGGUUGUAGGACACUCUAUACGGAGUUACAAAGGACGACAUUAGACGAAUCAUCUGGAAAGAUGAAUCAAAGAAGGUAAUAAUCCUGUAGUCGAAAAUGUUGUCUCUCUUGAGUGGAUCCUGAGUACGACGGAGCACGUGAAAUUCCGUCGGAAUCUGGGAGGACCAUCUCCUAAGGCUAAAUACUCUCUAGUGACCGAUAGUGAACCAGUACCGUGAGGGAAAGGUGAAAAGCACCCCGGAAGGGGAGUGAAAUAGAACCUGAAACCGUGUGCUUACAAGUAGUCAGAGCCCGUUAAUGGGUGAUGGCGUGCCUUUUGUAGAAUGAACCGGCGAGUUACGAUUUGAUGCAAGGUUAAGCAGUAAAUGUGGAGCCGUAGCGAAAGCGAGUCUGAAUAGGGCGUUUAGUAUUUGGUCGUAGACCCGAAACCAGGUGAUCUACCCUUGGUCAGGUUGAAGUUCAGGUAACACUGAAUGGAGGACCGAACCGACUUACGUUGAAAAGUGAGCGGAUGAACUGAGGGUAGCGGAGAAAUUCCAAUCGAACCUGGAGAUAGCUGGUUCUCUCCGAAAUAGCUUUAGGGCUAGCCUCAAGUGAUGAUUAUUGGAGGUAGAGCACUGUUUGGACGAGGGGCCCCUCUCGGGUUACCGAAUUCAGACAAACUCCGAAUGCCAAUUAAUUUAACUUGGGAGUCAGAACAUGGGUGAUAAGGUCCGUGUUCGAAAGGGAAACAGCCCAGACCACCAGCUAAGGUCCCAAAAUAUAUGUUAAGUGGAAAAGGAUGUGGCGUUGCCCAGACAACUAGGAUGUUGGCUUAGAAGCAGCCAUCAUUUAAAGAGUGCGUAAUAGCUCACUAGUCGAGUGACACUGCGCCGAAAAUGUACCGGGGCUAAACAUAUUACCGAAGCUGUGGAUUGUCCUUUGGACAAUGGUAGGAGAGCGUUCUAAGGGCGUUGAAGCAUGAUCGUAAGGACAUGUGGAGCGCUUAGAAGUGAGAAUGCCGGUGUGAGUAGCGAAAGACGGGUGAGAAUCCCGUCCACC
This 1091-nucleotide ribosomal RNA is filed under the name Staphylococcus aureus. RNAcentral describes it as "partial 23S ribosomal RNA". It matches the Rfam family "Bacterial large subunit ribosomal RNA", at positions 243 to 1338 of the family's 2925-position model. The record is from RNAcentral. Lineage: Bacteria; Bacillati; Bacillota; Bacilli; Caryophanales; Staphylococcaceae.